RNAcentral lists this ribosomal RNA (497 nucleotides) under uncultured bacterium. Its description in RNAcentral is "partial 16S ribosomal RNA". It matches the Rfam family "Bacterial small subunit ribosomal RNA", at positions 28 to 507 of the family's 1533-position model. The record is from RNAcentral.
GAUGAACGCUGGCGGCGUGCCUAAUACAUGCAAGUCGAGCGAACAGACGAGGAGCUUGCUCCUCUGACGUUAGCGGCGGACGGGUGAGUAACACGUGGAUAACCUACCUAUAAGACUGGGAUAACUACGGGAAACCGGAGCUAAUACCGGAUAAUAUCUUGAACCGCAUGGUUCAAUAGUGAAAGACGGUUUUGCUGUCUCUUAUCGAUGGAUCCGCGCCGCAUUAGCUAGUUGGUAAGGUAACGGCUUACCAAGGCAACGAUGCGUAGCCGACCUGAGAGGGUGAUCGGCCACACUGGAGCUGAGACACGGUCCAGACUCCUACGGGAGGCAGCAGUAGGGAAUCUUCCGCAAUGGGCGAAAGCCUGACGGAGCAACGCCGCGUGAGUGAUGAAGGUCUUCGGAUCGUAAAACUCUGUUAUUAGGGAAGAACAAAUGUGUAAGUAACUAUGCACGUCUUGACGGUACCUAAUCAGAAAGCCACGGCUAACUACGUG